Molecule: ribosomal RNA, 255 nt
Filed under: uncultured bacterium
Lineage: Bacteria
Description: partial 16S ribosomal RNA
Rfam family: Bacterial small subunit ribosomal RNA
Source: RNAcentral
UACGUAGGCAGCAAGCGUUGUUCGGAGUUACUGGGCGUAAAGGGUGCGUAGGCGGUCCUAUAAGUAUGGUGUGAAAUCUCCCGGCUUAACUGGGAGGGUGCGCUAUAGACUGUGGGACUAGAGUGUGGGAGAGGAAAGUGGAAUUCCUGGUGUAGCGGUGAAAUGCGUAGAUAUCAGGAGGAACACCGGUGGUGUAAACGGCUUUCUGGACCAUAACUGACGCUGGAGGCACGAAAGCCGUGGGUAGCAAACAGG